Long non-coding RNA from Harmonia axyridis, 1091 nucleotides. RefSeq lists it as uncharacterized. Lineage: Eukaryota; Metazoa; Arthropoda; Insecta; Coleoptera; Coccinellidae. The transcript has 3 exons. The record is from RefSeq and is a predicted model, not a curated record.
AAAUUUUUAUAUAAAAGUAGGAUUAAUCCUUGUGAAUCUUUCAAAGAAAGUCAUAAUGUUGAAGUUUUCGCUUGCCUUGUUUUUCGUAACAUUUCUCAUCAACUUCGUUUUUGCUGAAGUUGAAGUUUCAGUCCACAGAAGUCCAGAUGUUGUACUAUCUUCAUCUUGGUUAACAGUACCAUCAAUGCUCGUGAUAGGAGUAGCAUCUCUCAUUCAUUUUUUGAGACGAUAGAAUUUGUAUUCUCACAAUAAUUAGUAAUGUAAUGGACGUAAUAUAUUGAAUAAAUAUUACAAAAUUUAAGAAUUUCAUUUUCCAUAUUUAUUUUUUAUGGAAUUUCCAUUACCUCAAUACAUUGCUGUUCAUUUUACUAUUCAUUUUGCUGAUAACUUGAUUUCGUUCAAAAUGUUGAAAUGAAAAAACCAAAACGUGAAAUAUAAUAAUUCUCCUCGAAUGAAGUUUUUUCUCGAAUGAUUCCUAUUGUCCUUGUAUAAACCCAAUACCAUUCUACUUCACUGAAGGUUUCGAGAUCAACUUAUGAUCUUUAGCAAGAAAGAGUAGGAAAUUAAUAGAAAUAGUCACAUGUUAAGGACGUUCCAAAAUUUUCUUAUUCGGAACGUGAUUUAAAUAGAUCAAGAGUGAUUUUUCCUUAUCAUACCACAAUGAUAAAACUCACUUUGUUUUUUGGAAUAUCGAAGGAAUCAACCACAUAUUCUUUAAGGAAAUCUUUUUUUUCCUGUACUUCCUGGGUUCCGAAUAAAAACAGUUUUCACUGUGAAUUGUUAGAUGAUAGACUUGAAAAAUUGUCUGAAAAAAAAUGAAAACACUACUAUACAUUUUUAUCCUCACAAUCAUAAUCUACUCAACCUUUGUUGAGGCUAAUGAGGAGGAGGAUGAAAAUCAGUUUGGAAUUCCAAAGCUUCCAUUAUUUCCUGAGAGGGAUGAGAUAAAACCUACAUUGUCACCUUCUUCAGCUAGCGUAUUCAAAUUACUACCUCCAUUUUUAGGAAUAUCGUUUAUUAUGUUAAAUUUAUUGUAAGAAAUGGAAAAAUUUGAAAUGUUAAUUAGAUUUCAUUAAACCAGUCUCAUUUGA